UACGGGGGGUGCGAGCGUUGUCCGGAAUCACUGGGCGUAAAGGGCGCGUAGGUGGUUUGAUAAGGGUGUGGUGAAAGUCCGGAGCUCAGCUCCGGAUCUGCCGUGCCGACUGUCAAACUCGAGGGCUGUAGAGGCAGACGGAAUUCCGGGUGUAGCGGUGGAAUGCGUAGAGAUCCGGAGGAAGACCGGUGGCGAAGGCGGUCUGCUGGGCAGUUUCUGACACUGAGGCGCGACAGCGUGGGGAGCAAACAGG
Molecule: ribosomal RNA, 253 nt
Filed under: uncultured bacterium
Lineage: Bacteria
Description: partial 16S ribosomal RNA
Rfam family: Bacterial small subunit ribosomal RNA
Source: RNAcentral